This 578-nucleotide long non-coding RNA is filed under the name Homo sapiens (human). RNAcentral describes it as "HSALNT0255738". The record is from RNAcentral. Lineage: Eukaryota; Metazoa; Chordata; Mammalia; Primates; Hominidae.
GGUUCCCCUUCCUUUCCUCUGUCCAAUUCCCUGAGAAAGUGGCUGACAGAGCCCCCCCAGAAGUAGCUGGAGGGACCUCAGGCGAGGAGGACGUGGAAGUGGGCCUCUUCCGGGUCCUGGAGUUGCUGGGGGUGGCAGUGGUGCCUGAGUGAUCAUCCAAGGUGGCCGGGUCUUCUUCUGGCAUCGUUUUCUUUGUCCAUGUAAGAAGAAACACAGAAGUGGGUGAUUUGGGGUUUCAGGAUCUAGGGUUUCUCCAUGUUCUGAGCCUGAGACUCUGCCAGCCCAGCAGGUCUCCUCUCAUCCCGCCCCCACCCACACCCACCUGUCCUGGUCUUCCCUUCUCCUGCCUUCCUCUCUGCUAAACUGGGGACCAGAGAGCAUGGAUUCAAACACCAGUUCCUUCACUUUAUAGCAGUGUAACCUCAGUUGUGUGGCUUCACCCCUCUAUACCUCAGUUUCCCCUUCUGCAAAACGGGCAGAAUGCUAGUACCCACCACUUCCUAGGGCUGCUAUGAGGCUUAAAAGAGUAAAACUGAUAAAGCAAAUGGCACAUCGUAAGCUCUUCUUUGCUAAGUGAA